This 442-nucleotide ribosomal RNA is filed under the name uncultured bacterium. RNAcentral's name for it is "partial 16S ribosomal RNA". It matches the Rfam family "Bacterial small subunit ribosomal RNA", at positions 338 to 795 of the family's 1533-position model. The record is from RNAcentral.
CCUACGGGAGGCUGCAGUAGGGAAUCUUUCACAAUGGGCGAAAGCCUGAUGGCGCAACGCCGCGUGCAGGAUGAAGGCCUUCGGGUUGUAAACUGCUUUUAUAAGCGAGAAAUAUGAUGGUAACUUAUGAAUAAGGAUCGGCUAACUACGUGCCAGCAGCCGCGGUCAUACGUAGGAUCCGAGCAUUAUCCGGAGUGACUGGGUGUAAAGAGUUGCGUAGGUGGCAUAAUAAGUAGCUAGUGAAAUCUGGUGGCUCAACCAUUCAGACUAUUAGCUAAACUGUUAAGCGCGAGACCGUUAGGGGUAACUGGAAUUUCGAGUGUAGGAGUGAAAUCCGUAGAUAUUAGAAGGAACACCAAUAGCGUAGGCAGGUUACUGGGACGGUUCUGACACUAAGGCACGAAAGCGUAGGGAGCAAACGGGAUUAGAUACCCGUGUAGUC